UUCUCUACUUAGAUGCCUCGAGUAUAGGAAAUAUUCUUGGGGCCGGUCAUUUCGCAUUGUAGAUCCUAUAAACGCCUGAAGUAAACACAUCUUGAUUGCAAAGUUAUACAUUGAUCCCUCUCUAUUCAGAAGUCACCUUCACCGAUACAGACUCGAGCUCAAGAUUUAUCUCAUGGCUGCCGUAUCCAUUCAGCUUAGCUUUGAACGAACAGUUGCGUUGGAUACUACUGUCGGAGCCUUCGGGGCCAGCCUUGAACUUGAAAACUUCAAAUGAUUGACGGUAUCCCGUGAAACAGUGACAGCGAUCAAAAACCUCCGUAAGCCACACGACUUGCCGAUAGCGCCACAGAAAAGCUGAAAAUUUUCUUGUCCCUUCAAAACAGAAACAAUGGAACUGGGACCUCUGAUAUGACAACUUGUACAGUGGCCGCGACUGCAUUAUGAGCAAGUGCAGAAGAGAUAUCGACCGCGCCACCACAGUCGACACCCAAGCUAUUAAACCCAUUAACAGUCGCGGUAAUUAGGGCGCUCAUUCGCGUGGUACACCUGUCCAUUUACUGUGCUAAGUUAAAAAACACGAUUUUCAUCGAGCCGGUUCUCUCCUCCACGACCCAGCGCCCCCUUUUUGUUUUUCCUCUGAGGCUAGGGUUACCGCCGGCGGCGUCCUCCCCGGCGCUCGUGCCCUCUCCAUCCCGCCCGAGCUCCACCUCCUGCCUCAUCUCUAGCGAUCUUCUCAAUCUAGACCUCGGGAGCACGCACCGGCUACCUCUAGCUCGUCCUCCACCACGCUUGCGCUUGCGUGUUUGAUGGGCACAGGCUGCUCCACCUCCACGCACGGACGACAAGCACGGCGGCCCUGAGAAAGGUGCUCUCGCCCCCUUUUCUCCUUCUGGUUAUGAGCAUAGUGCAUAGGAAGCCUGUAGUAUGUAUCUGGCGAGGUGCAGUGUGGAGGCAGCGGAACAAGCAUCAUAUAUACAAUAAUACAAACGACUUAAAUCCUUCAAGAAGCGUUUCUGCGUUCUGCUACUCUUGGUUUCUCAUAAUCGCUCAAAGUGAAGAGGUUGUUCGUAGUUUCUGAAUCUUGAAAACUGUUGGGUACAGGUAUCACUGAUAUGGGAGCUCCCGUUGCAUAUUUGCGACUUCUCGGAAGAAGCCUGUGAACAUAUCGUCUCUGAAUAAGCCCGCCAAACCCCUGACACAGGUGUUGUAUUCUGAACAUUUCCUCGGCAAAUUGGGGCAGCUUGUCGAACAACCCACGCACAGCAAAAUCUGAAAAUCCUCUGAAUCAAAUGGGCCCUGGAUUACCAAAGUUGUUUGGUUGCACCAUGCAAAAUAAUCCCUAUAAAAAAUCCUACAAGAUUUGAUGCUACAAAUCAAGAGAAAUAUGACAUUGCUUAGUGUGAGGUGCUUACAAAGUACUUUUCGCCGUGGUGUUUAUUGAAAUAUUUGGGUAAUGCAGUUUUAUGAUAUUGUGUGGCUUAGCCUUUGUUCAGGAAUAGAGCGUGGGAACAAUAUCUUUGGUUGUAGCCUCUCCCAUGGAGUUUGGCCUGCUCGGCGCAUUGUUUGGUCUCCAGCCUCUCCCUGACUCUUUCUUCUCCCAGUGACUUCUCCUUUUACCAAUACCCGAUACUUGCAUCACUUAAUUCAUUGUUGUACAACUUCAUUUGCUUUGUGGCAGCAGAGGAAAGGGGGAGAAAAUGCGUCCAUUGUACCACGCUUGACCUUUGAGUAACAUUUGUUUGAUGGGAGAAUUUGAUGUAUGUUCUGAAGCUCGUGGUAGUUCAUCAAUCUUGCAAGAGGAACUGAGGAAAAUCUUAUUCAACACAACAGGAGGGGAACCGGCUGUGGUAGUUUUAGGAAUCGGGAUGAUCGCCGUAUGUUAGAUCUCUAUCUCUUCCAGGCAAUGAUCAGAUGCACAACAUGGAAUCAGGAUGAUCGUCGUAUGAUAGAUCAUUUCCGGGCAAGGAUCGGACGCAUAACAUGGUAUGUACAUGCAAUGGAAUUGUUACAUAGAGCAAAUAUGUAGUUCCCCCAGAUGUUCUGGUAUCUGGAAUGAGCUUGAUGUGUUCCGACAUAGCUCAGUUUAUGACGAAGCCAUCGAACAGAAAUAUCAAGUUCGGAAAGAGUUUCGAGCGGCGAAACCAGUCUCUCCCCCCCCCCCCCCCCCCCCCCCCCCAAUAAGUGGACCUACUUUUCUUGGUUAAUCAGUCUAAUAAUUUCUUUCCUCUUUAUAUGCAAGACUCAUGAACGUUUUCCUCAUUUAUUUGGACAAAUAAAGCUGGAAGAUUUUAUGCCAUGGUCGAGUUUUUUUUCUAGAAUCAUUCGUCAUAGGAGGUAACAAAAAUGUCAUAAUGCAUUCUAAUGCUUCCAAGCCAAAGUUAAUGAGCUUUACGGAUUGGUUUGCUCACUUUGGUCUGUUGAGCAGUCCAAGAUUGACAUAUGGGAUCAUUACCAAAAUAUGAAUAACUAGAAGUUGACCAAUCUCAACAAGACACUUGAGGAAGAUCAACUUAUGAUGGAUCAAGAAGUAUUGUGUUUCCGAUCAUGCACUCCUUUCUUUUCUGAAACAUUGAAGGUUCCUAUUAUGUUCAUCAACAACAUGGCUCAUGUUCAUUUGUUGUGUUGACUUGCAUCUCUUUCUCCGAGUUCAAUGGUUUGCUGUUGCAUGUCACAUGUUUGUGAACAUUUAUUUAUGCUAUCAAAAUGGGCAUAUGGUUUUGUA
Molecule: non-coding RNA, 2722 nt
Organism: Aegilops tauschii subsp. strangulata
Lineage: Eukaryota; Viridiplantae; Streptophyta; Magnoliopsida; Poales; Poaceae
Source: RefSeq, a predicted model, not a curated record